This 520-nucleotide ribosomal RNA is filed under the name uncultured microorganism. RNAcentral's name for it is "bacterial SSU rRNA". It matches the Rfam family "Bacterial small subunit ribosomal RNA", at positions 9 to 524 of the family's 1533-position model. The record is from RNAcentral.
GAGUUUGAUCGUGGCUCAGAUUGAACGCUGGCGGCAGGCCUAACACAUGCAAGUCGAGCGGAUGAAGGGAGCUUGCUCCUGGAUUCAGCGGCGGACGGGUGAGUAAUGCCUAGGAAUCUGCCUGGUAGUGGGGGAUAACGUCCGGAAACGGGCGCUAAUACCGCAUACGUCCUGAGGGAGAAAGUGGGGGAUCUUCGGACCUCACGCUAUCAGAUGAGCCUAGGUCGGAUUAGCUAGUUGGUGGGGUAAAGGCCUACCAAGGCGACGAUCCGUAACUGGUCUGAGAGGAUGAUCAGUCACACUGGAACUGAGACACGGUCCAGACUCCUACGGGAGGCAGCAGUGGGGAAUAUUGGACAAUGGGCGAAAGCCUGAUCCAGCCAUGCCGCGUGUGUGAAGAAGGUCUUCGGAUUGUAAAGCACUUUAAGUUGGGAGGAAGGGCAGUAAGUUAAUACCUUGCUGUUUUGACGUUACCAACAGAAUAAGCACCGGCUAACUUCGUGCCAGCCGCCGCCGUAAU